CCAAAUCAAAAUCCCAAUGUUAAACUCUAACCCUUACCCAAACCAAAUUCAACAAUUAGCCAAUAUUGAUUGAAAUAAUGAAUUUGGAUUCCAACUUUAAAAAAUCCAGUGACUUGUAGUAAAUCGGUGGUUUAAGUUGAAUUUUCCAUGGACUUUGUUUUGAUUUGUUGUGGAGUUCACCUUUCAUUCUUGAUUUCUUGUGUGUAAAGUCUCAAAGAGGAGUUGACAAUGAUUUCUUAUACCGUGCUUUUGUGCUUGCUCUUAAGUUCAGCAACUUGCAGUAGGUCCUGGUAAGUAUAAGUUCAUUUCAUCUUAAUUAAGCAACAAUAAGUGGUGAUUAUAUUUGGUUUUGAAUCAGGUCUAUAAGUGAGUAUUAAUUGAGAAGAUAUGUGUAAAUGAUGGCUGGAAAAUAGUUGCUACAGACAAUGGGAUGGAGGUAUUGAAACGCUCGUUUGGUUCACACUUUUUGCAGCCGUUGAUUGCUCAAUUCUGCCUCGGUCCAGCAGUUUAUUACUGUUGCCAAUGCCAUCAUGCUGCAAAAGUGCAUGAUUCAUUAUAAAGAAUAGAGAAGAUCAGUGGGGUUGAAGACAUUAAAGUGUUUUUUCACUCAAUUUCUUAUCGACAUAUUAACCAGCCAUUGUUCAACGAAUUGUAGAGGAGCUCGAGAAGAUAAUAUCGUUACUUAAAGGAGAGCUGAAGAAUGUUGAAGCAGAUAUGAUAUAAUGGGAAUUUUUGUCAUUAAAAAAGAUGAUCAAUGAUGGAGUUUAUAACAUUAUAUCGCAUAAUGUAACAUUUGUAAAACUUUAUUGUGCAUCAAUUUGUUUUACAAGGUUUAUUUGUAAUGUUUGAACAUAUUUUGUUGUUCCAUUAUUAUAUUAUCAAUAGAAUAUUGCUACUAUUGUUUUCAUUAUCAUUAAAAAAGAUGAUCAAUGAUGGAGUUUAUAACAUUAUAUCGGAUAAUGUAACAUUUGUAAAACUUUAUUGUGCAUCAAUUUGUUUUACAAGGUUUAUUUGUAAUGUUUGAACAUAUUUUGUUGUUCCAUUAUUAUAUUAUCAAUAGAAUAUUGCUACUAUUGUUUUCAUUCCAUAUUUAAGAGAACAUAUCCAUCGUAACCAUAAGUGCUUUCACUGUGAUCAGGUCCGGGCGACUAUUUACCAAAAACACAGGUCUCCGCAAAGUCAUAAGACCAUGUAUGAGGGUUGACGCCUGCCCAGUGCCGAAAGGUCAAGGAAGUUGGUGACCUGAUGACAGGGGAGUCGGUGACUGAAGCCCCGGUGAACGACAGCCGUAACUACAACAGUCUUAAGGUAGCGAAAUUCCUUGUCGGGAAUCAGGCCCAGUUUUGGACCAAGGCCUACUAGCAGCCGCCUAGGGCCUCAUAAUUUAGAGGGGCCUCAUAAAAAAAAAUUUGGCCCAAAAUCCAACCGAAGACCCAUCUGAAACCUGCCCAAUUACUCAAAAUAACCAAUUUUACCGGCUAGAAGAGAUGGUUUAGGGCAGAUACGCUGAACGAUAGCAAAAUCACAAGCAAGUGUUCACAACUGAAGUAGAGUAGUAGAAGAAAUUACAAAUAAUCGGUGGGAGCAAGGACUUUCCAAUGGCCAGCUGCAUAUGCUUCCUUCUCUCUCUNGGAAGAUAUUUGGUCUCUAUAACCACUAGGUCCAACCUCUUUAUAGCGCAAUAUUGGUACAACGUUCAUGGUGGCCCUAGCGAGUGCAUGGCUCAAAUUAGGGACAACUUGGUACCCUACUUAGGUCCAUAGCUGAUAAUCAAGUGAGAUGUAGGGCUUCUUCCUCUUUAUCUUUGAGGAGGUAAGAGUCCUUGACCUAUCCUAUUGCGACCAUCAUCUCUUCAUUGAUUAUUUCACCUCUUAUCUUCACCAAUAAUAGUAGGUGGAAGUCUUCUUGUUGUGAACAUCCCUUCAGAAUAGGAUGUUCAUGUUAUGACCUCUUUAACAUGGCUCAACCUUUUUGUUGAGUAUACAGAGUUGCAUUAUCUUCAAAUGAUACUAAGUGUGAUCUUUUAUAAUAGACGACGUAUAAUAUUGAUCGUUGGAUGGAAAGACAUAUGGACUCAUCUCGAUGGUUGAGGUAUUUCCUCUUAUGCAUCAAUUCGUUAAUCUUAAAUUGAUUGACAUUUAAUGUUAUCUAAAAGGUGGCUACCCUAAAAUCUAGACCUGACCUCUAAAAAAUAGAUUGAUCAUUUGACCUUUUUGGCACCUACAGCAGAGACUUCAUAUCAAUCGUAGGAAGAUCUUAUACAAAGCAUCUCUUAAAAGAGGUGAAGUGGAAAACAGCUUUUAUUAAUCAAGUAGGUUAACUACUUCGAAGUUCUUCCAUGAAACAUGUGUAGCAUCUUGCUUGGCCAUGGCGGGUCAACCUUUUCGUGGCAUUUCGAUGGAAGUGAUACAUCACAUCGGCUAUCUUAUAUAUGGCGUCACCUCGGUAGAAUGGUGAUGUGCAGUGUGGGCCUAAUUGACUUACUAGCUAAUUGUUAUGUGGUAGUGAUCUACAGCCUCAUCAUAAGAAACAUAACAAUGGUUCCUCUAAUCCAUUUAUGGAUAUUUAUAUAAUUCUUGGACUUUCAGCGUCGGGUUAGAGGUGAAUUCAUUGUCAAGGUGAUGCGUUGACAUGAAGCAUUUUAUCUUUCAUUCACUAAGUGGUAUAAUAGUGCAUUUGAGCAUAAUAGUGUGGGUCUUAGUUAUCUUGUCAAUUAAUAAGUGUCUGACGUUCUAAAGUACUAAGUACUAAAAACUUUGAUGUAUUAAUUUUUUUUUUCAAACAUUUGAUGUUGCCUUUAUCAGUUUAUUAUUCCUUUCCCAAUUUCGCAAUUUUAAAUAAUUUAGAUAAUAUCAUUAAAAAGUAUUGAUAAACUAAAUACAUAUCAUUAAUAUUAGAACCCACUAAAAUUCCCCCCCCCCCUAAACAACACUUCGUCAUCUUCAUGAUCAAACAUGGUAUAUAAACAUAAUAAUUCAUUUAGGUUUUGUGGUUAAAAAUCUAAAUUAGAUCAAAACCUAAAUUAGAUUUAGGUUUUGAAAUUAAAAAUCUAAGUUAAUUAAUUAUAUAAUUAUAUUAGAGGGAAAUACUUGUUAUCGUAAUGGCUAAAAUAUCCUUGCCAAUUGAAUUUGGUGAAGGAGGGCACGUAUCUAUUUGCUGGAGGAAUGAUCAAAUUAGAUGGUAAGGAUACUUUACGAAAUGAAAGGUUGAUAUGAGAGAAAAAUUGAGUGGUGCCAACUCAGCUUAGUCCAUUGUCUUAACUUAUUGUCAUUGGUGUUUUAUUUAUUAUUAUUUUUUUAACAGAAAAUCGAUUUUAGAAUACUUCUACAAAGAUUUAUUUUAUGUACAUCGUGCAUGGAAGAAAUGAUUUUUUAAUAGCAAUCUGCAUUAGAAAAUCUAGGGAGCUAUAUUUUGAUUUUCAAAACGUAUUCAAUUCGAAAACACUAUCAUCUUAGAAACUUUUGUACACAUCUUAGAAAUUUUAGUGUUAAUGGCAAUUUGCACCUUAUACAUUUUCUCAGAGUACAAGUAGAAAAAAAUUGAAAGAUUAGAGGUCAAAAUGCAACUAAGCGAUAAAUUAGGGACUUCCAGUGCUAUUUUCAUAAUUUCUUUACAUUAGAAAAUCUAGGGAGCUAUAUUUUGAUUUUCAAAACGUAUUCAAUUCGAAAACACUAUCAUCUUAGAAACUUUUGUACACAUCUUAGAAAUUUUAGUGUUAAUGGCAAUUUGCACCUUAUACAUUUUCUCAGAGUAUAAGUAGACAAAAAUUGAAAGAUUAGAGGUCAAAAUGCAACUAAGCGAUAAAUUAGGGACUUCCAGUGCUAUUUUCAUAAUUUCUUUACAUUAAAGCAAUCACGCAUCACUGUCGCUCGGUAGUAGUGGUUACCUCCUCUUUCCGGUGCACAUAAACCCUAACGAAUCAUGUUACGAGUACAUAAUUUUUGACAGAAAAACCUUAUAGACAACAAAUAACGCGACAUCAUUGGAAGAUGGCAAAAAAAUAAUAAUCCAAUCACAUUUUGCCACGUUAGGUCGGUACAAGUUUUAUUAAAUUAUUCUUGUACUUAUGGCUAUAUUGAAUCCUAAACCUAGCACAACUUAGCAGCUACUUCGAUCAUUGUAAAUCCAAGAGUUAGAAAAGAAGAAGAAGAAGAAGAAGAAGAAGAAGAAGAACCGUUCUUAUAAUUAACAGAAUAUCAAUUAACGAAAAUAGGGAUCUUUAUAUCUUUUGAAGGAUUAAAUAAAUAUGGGUUUUUAUGAGAUGAUGAAGGUGAUUAUUAGAUGAGAUUUUGUUUCUAAUCUUGACUUGUAGUUUGAGUUAAUUAAAUGAUUGCUCACUGAAUUUUAUCCUAAUUUACUACUUACUCACUAAACAAAAAGAUUAUUCAUUCUUCACUGAUUUAUCCAAACGUUUACCAAUCUAUCACUCCUUCUAAAUUUAUUACCUGUAAUUGACGAAAAAUGCCAUGUGUAUGACAAAAAUAUCGUUAAUUUGUCCACUUGGAUAAAAAACACACUCAAUCAAAAUGACAACCUUUGUUUAAUUUGUGAAACACACUUCUUCUAAACCUUUAAAUCAAAAAUCCCCAAAUUAAAACACAAAAUUGCCCAAAUCAAAAUCCCAAUGUUAAACUCUAACCCUUACCCAAACCAAAUUCAACAAUUAGCCAAUAUUGAUUGAAAUAAUGAAUUUGGAUUCCAACUUUAAAAAAUCCAGUGACUUGUAGUAAAUCGGUGGUUUAAGUUGAAUUUUCCAUGGACUUUGUUUUGAUUUGUUGUGGAGUUCACCUUUCAUUCUUGAUUUCUUGUGUGUAAGGUCUCAAAGAGGAGUUGACAAUGAUUUCUUAUACCGUGCUUUUGUGCUUGCUCUUAAGUUCACCAUUUUGAUUUGCGGUGCUUGCUGAAGUUCAGCAACUUGCAGUAGGUCCUGGUAAGUAUAAGUUCAUUUCAGCUUAAUUAAGCAACAAUAAGUGGUGAUUAUAUUUGGUUUUGAAUCAGGUCUAUAAGCGAGUAUUAAUUGAGAAGACAUGUGUAAAUGAUGGCUGGAAAAUAGUUGCUACAGACAAUGGGAUGGAGGUAUUGAAACGCUCGUUUGGUUCACACUUUUUGCAGCCGUUGAUUGCUCAAUUCUGCCUCGGUCCAGCAGUUUCUUACUGUUGCCAAUGCCAAUGAUGCUGCAAAAGUGCAAAAUUCAUUAUAAAGAAUAGAGAAGAUCUGUGGGGUUGAAGACAUUAAAGCAUUUUUUCACUCAAUUUCUUAUAGACAUAUUAACCAGCCAUUGUUCAACGAAUUUUAGAGGAGCUCAAGAAGAUAAUAUUGUUACUUAAAGGAGAGCUGAAGAAUGUUGAAGCAGAUCUAGAUAUAAUGGGAAUUUUUAUCAUUAAAAAGAUGAUCAGUGAUGGGGUUUAUAACAUUAUAUCGCAUAAUGUAACAUUUGUAAAACUUUAUCGUGCAUCAAUUUGU
This 5463-nucleotide long non-coding RNA is filed under the name Olea europaea subsp. europaea. The stretch from base 1034 to 1394 matches the Rfam family "Bacterial large subunit ribosomal RNA", at positions 1694 to 2032 of the family's 2925-position model. Lineage: Eukaryota; Viridiplantae; Streptophyta; Magnoliopsida; Lamiales; Oleaceae. The record is from RNAcentral.